ACUCCUACGGGAGGCAGCAGUGGGGAAUAUUGCACAAUGGGCGCAAGCCUGAUGCAGCCAUGCCGCGUGUGUGAAGAAGGCCUUGGGUUGUAAAGCACUUUCAGUCGUGAGGAAGGUAGUGUAGUUAAUAGCUGCAUUAUUUGUACGUUAGCGACAGAAGAAGCACCGGCUAACUCCGUGCCAGCAGCCGCGGUAAUACGGAGGUGCGAGCGUUAAUCGGAAUUACUGGGCGUAAAGCGCAUGCAGGUGGUUGUUAAGUCAGAUGUGAAAGCCCGGGGCUCAACCUCGGAAUAGCAUUUGAAACUGGCAGACUAGAGUACUGUAGAGGGGGUAGAAUUUCAGGUGUAGCGGUGAAAUGCGUAGAGAUCUGAAGGAAUACCGGUGGCGAAGGCGGCCCCUGGACAGAUACUGACACUCAGAUGCGAAAGCGUGGGAGCAAACAGGAUU
Molecule: ribosomal RNA, 447 nt
Filed under: uncultured bacterium
Lineage: Bacteria
Description: bacterial SSU rRNA
Rfam family: Bacterial small subunit ribosomal RNA
Source: RNAcentral